UGAAACUGCUUGGCUCUGUGGAAUCAGAACAUGAAGUGCCUACACUUCGGUUUAAUGAUUAUCUGGCUUUUAAAUAGUCGUUUCUCCACUACGUACAUGUGUCUUUAUCGUUUGUGGGUGAGCACAUUGCAAGACUAUAUACUUUUAACAGGAUAACCAAAGAAGAAGGCUGCUGGAGACAUGAGCGAGGAAAGAGGCAAAACACUUUUACCAGGUACCAGUGCACUUCAGCGUAUGCAGCAGGGAUAUUGAAGAAGAAGAAAAGAAGACCUUCAACAAUGUCUUCUGUCUUAUGAACAUUAGGGAAGGCUUUUGCUUGCCACAUAGGACUUCAGUCUGACUAAAAAGAUCGAGAAAAUGGGCUUGGUAGAAGUUCUGGUAACUCAUAGAACCUCAAACAUAGACAAAGAACUACAGGCAACUAAAAGUAGCAGAGAACUUGGCUGAAUUAUGCCCAUGCCCGAAGGCUUUGUAGAAGGAGAAGUUUAAGAUGAGUGAGCUGGGACAUUUGGUGGAAGAAACUUUUAAGCAGAAUAUUCAAGGAUUCACAGCCUUCUUGUAGGUGCUAGUAAAUGAGAAUAAUGGCAAGGUUGCCUCCACUGCAAAUGGAGGAACACCAGAAGAAAACAAGCUGAUGACACCAAGGGAGACACCCUCUGGCUACUUGCCUUGAGUUCCCAAUUUCUGAUUGCUUGGGUCCCUUUAAAUAUUGGGAGUUGGAGUUGGCCUCACUCUAAAGUAUUGCCCUCAGAAUCUCUGAGUGAGCCUUGGGUUCCAGUCUACCAUUGAGAGAAUCCAGGCAUGAACUCAAAGCAGGAGCCUGAAGCAGGAACUGAAUAAGAGACCAUGGAGGAAUGGUACUUACUGACUGACUUGCUACUGUGAAUUGCACAGCUGUGCUUCUUAUACAGCCAGUAGCCACUGGCUGUUUACAGCUGGCUUGGCCAUUCUACAUCAUUAGCAACAUAUCCACAGACUCAUCUGAUGGAUGGACAUAAUCCUUAACCUGAUAAUCCUUCUUCCCAGGUUGUUUUCAGUUACCAAAUCAGCUGAGUCAGAGUUGAAUAUGCUCCCACAUGCCAGUGUCACCAUCAUUGCCAUCCUCAUGUCAUAGUGGACAUCACUUCCUGAGAAAGAAAAGGCCAUACUGGGGGAAUUUAUUUCAAUAGCCUUUUAUUUUACUUAAAACUGUAUAUGUCUAACAUAAAAUUGUAUUUUAUUCAACCACCAGAGGGAGCCUCCAAAUCUAUGGUUUCUGAAAAGGAAAUAUGACUGAAAUGUCAACUUUAUAAAUAUUAUGCUUGACAACUAAAAACCCAAUACAUUCCAUUUCAUUCCAUUGGCUUCCAUGAGGGUUUUCAUAUAGAAGAUGUCAGGCUCUUUUCCUGUUCCAUAUGCCAUAUCAUUUUGGUUAACAGUUUUUAUAUAAUACUCUAUUUUUGCAUGAUUUUGUUUCUUUCAGUGUUUGAGUAAUUCUGAUAUUUUAAUUAUACAGUUGAUUGAGACUCACCAAUAUCUUGUUUCAAAAUGAUUUUCCUUCAAUACUUCUUUUAAGUCCUAGCUUUUUUCAGGUGUAUUUUUGUCUUCACAUUGAUGAUCUUUAUCCAUAUAUUUUUUCUAUAACCCCAAACCAAGGGUUUGCCACAUCUAUUCCUUUCCAUAUUUAUUAAUUUUGAUACAUUGCUUGUCUGACCAGGAUUUAUUAUUAAAUAUUUAAGAAGUGUCUUGGGAUUUUAGAAUUAUGAGUCUUUUUUAUAUUUGGAAAUGUUAACCUAAUGCAUGUUUGACAAAUAGGGUGACCAUGAUAUUUUCAGGUGUUUCCUUCCAUCAUCUGCAAGCUCAUUUUCUCCCAUGGAGAAUCAAGUGAUUCAAAUGUUUCCACCAAUAUUAUUUACACAUGGGAUGAGGAAGGAUGUUAUCCAACUUUUUCCUCUUGGCAGAGCUGGCUAUUUCCCAUAAGGGAGAGCCCUGGACCUCCCAGAACUAACCUCCUUCGAUUGCUGAUACCUUGUCAGUAAACUUGAGUUUCCAUGUCCAUUUAGGUCUCUCUCUCACCUUCCCUCCCUCUGUCUCUCUCCAUCCCUCCUACAUAGACUUAGGCACGCAUCAUGCUGCUGUCACUACAGCAGCUGAGCUAGUCAAGAUACCCAUUAUCUCCAAGCAUUUCCUCCUGUCUGCUAUCUAUCGUGAUAAGAAUACUUACUUACCACAGUAGCACAUCUUUAGGGAAGGGUAGCUCUUGAAAGAAUUUGUUUUGUCUACUGUUUGUGCAUCACACUGUCAAGUGACCCUGUUUUUUUUUUUUUCUUUCACACACUAAUGUCAUCAAUCUUGUUUUGUGACUGUGAAAAAUUGUUGUGCACGGAGGUUAAGAAAAUUACCCAGGGUCACGGAGCAGAUGAGUGAAACCUAGGCCCAGAGCCAGGACUCUGGACCGCUGCGUUGACAUAUGGUCGUCCAAUGCUCCACAGCUGCAGGCUACUCUGCUCCUUCCCAGUGCACUUGAUAAACGUCAGCUAUUUUAACUCUCCAUCUGAGUCAAAGUCAAUGGAAUUUCACUAAAGUUAGUAGAAUGUUGUCUCAGUAGAAAAAUAAAUUAUGAAUAAUGAAUAGAGGUGAAACAGAUUCAUCCCUAGUCAGUAUUGACAGAAUCAUUCUUCUUUUUCUUUAACUUCUGACUCUCCAGAAAGUGCUUAUAGAUGUGUAAUAUUUCCACAAAAAGUUUCUAUGACAACACCACCUGAAUACUAACAUUUUAGACAAAGUAUUCCUUUGAUAUUUGUAUAAUUGAUAGUUAUAUGUAGAUCUUUAUUGGAUAAAUAAAGACUAUUUUCAAAUAAAGUAAAAACGCAAUAUAUAAA
This is a long non-coding RNA of Arvicola amphibius (Eurasian water vole), 2861 nucleotides long. RefSeq lists it as uncharacterized. NCBI's taxonomy places the organism in Eukaryota, Metazoa, Chordata, Mammalia, Rodentia, Cricetidae. The transcript has 7 exons. The record is from RefSeq and is a predicted model, not a curated record.